RNAcentral lists this ribosomal RNA (704 nucleotides) under uncultured Bacteroidota bacterium. RNAcentral's name for it is "bacterial SSU rRNA". It matches the Rfam family "Bacterial small subunit ribosomal RNA", at positions 212 to 916 of the family's 1533-position model. Lineage: Bacteria; Pseudomonadati; Bacteroidota. The record is from RNAcentral.
UCAUCGGUGAUGGAUGGGGAUGCGUCUGAUUAGCUUGUUGGCGGGGUAACGGCCCACCAAGGCGACGAUCAGUAGGGGUUCUGAGAGGAAGGUCCCCCACAUUGGAACUGAGACACGGUCCAAACUCCUACGGGAGGCAGCAGUGAGGAAUAUUGGUCAAUGGGCGAGAGCCUGAACCAGCCAAGUAGCGUGCAGGAUGACGGCCCUAUGGGUUGUAAACUGCUUUUAUAAGGGAAUAAAGUGGGAGUCGUGACUCUUUUUGCAUGUACCUUAUGAAUAAGGACCGGCUAAUUCCGUGCCAGCAGCCGCGGUAAUACGGAAGGUCCGGGCGUUAUCCGGAUUUAUUGGGUUUAAAGGGAGCGUAGGCCGGAGAUUAAGCGUGUUGUGAAAUGUAGGUGCUCAACAUCUGCACUGCAGCGCGAACUGGUUUCCUUGAGUACGCACAAAGUGUGCGGAAUUCGUGGUGUAGCGGUGAAAUGCUUAGAUAUCACGAAGUACUCCGAUUGCGAAGGCAGCUCACUGGAGCGCAACUGACGCUGAAGCUCGAAAGUGCGGGUAUCGAACAGGAUUAGAUACCCUGGUAGUCCGCACGGUAAACGAUGGAUGCCCGCUGUUGGUCUGAAUAGGUCAGCGGCCAAGCGAAAGCAUUAAGCAUCCCACCUGGGGAGUACGCCGGCAACGGUGCAACUCAAAGGAAUUGACGG